This 387-nucleotide ribosomal RNA is filed under the name Staphylococcus aureus. RNAcentral describes it as "bacterial SSU rRNA". It matches the Rfam family "Bacterial small subunit ribosomal RNA", at positions 196 to 571 of the family's 1533-position model. The record is from RNAcentral. Lineage: Bacteria; Bacillati; Bacillota; Bacilli; Caryophanales; Staphylococcaceae.
AAAAGUGAAAGACGGUCUUGCUGUCACUUAUAGAUGGAUCCGCGCUGCAUUAGCUAGUUGGUAAGGUAACGGCUUACCAAGGCAACGAUGCAUAGCCGACCUGAGAGGGUGAUCGGCCACACUGGAACUGAGACACGGUCCAGACUCCUACGGGAGGCAGCAGUAGGGAAUCUUCCGCAAUGGGCGAAAGCCUGACGGAGCAACGCCGCGUGAGUGAUGAAGGUCUUCGGAUCGUAAAACUCUGUUAUUAGGGAAGAACAUAUGUGUAAGUAACUGUGCACAUCUUGACGGUACCUAAUCAGAAAGCCACGGCUAACUACGUGCCAGCAGCCGCGGUAAUACGUAGGUGGCAAGCGUUAUCCGGAAUUAUUGGGCGUAAAGCGCGCG